AUUGAACGCUGGCGGCAUGCCUUACACAUGCAAGUCGAACGGUAACGGGCCUUCGGGUGCCGACGAGUGGCGCACGGGUGAGUAAUACAUCGGAACGUGCCCGAUCGUGGGGGAUAACGAGGCGAAAGCUUUGCUAAUACCGCAUACGAUCUACGGAUGAAAGCAGGGGACCGCAAGGCCUUGCGCGGACGGAGCGGCCGAUGGCAGAUUAGGUAGUUGGUGGGAUAAAAGCUUACCAAGCCGACGAUCUGUAGCUGGUCUGAGAGGAUGAUCAGCCACACUGGGACUGAGACACGGCCCAGACUCCUACGGGAGGCAGCAGUGGGGAAUUUUGGACAAUGGGCGCAAGCCUGAUCCAGCCAUGCCGCGUGCAGGAUGAAGGCCUUCGGGUUGUAAACUGCUUUUGUAUGGAACGAAAAGCCUUCUUUUAAUACAGGAGGGUCAUGACGGUACCGUAAGAAUAAGCACCGGCUAACUACGUG
This 482-nucleotide ribosomal RNA is filed under the name uncultured bacterium. RNAcentral describes it as "partial 16S ribosomal RNA". It matches the Rfam family "Bacterial small subunit ribosomal RNA", at positions 30 to 507 of the family's 1533-position model. The record is from RNAcentral.